AUUGAACGCUGGCGGCAGGCCUAACACAUGCAAGUCGAGCGGAUGAAGGGAGCUUGCUCCUGGAUUCAGCGGCGGACGGGUGAGUAAUGCCUAGGAAUCUGCCUGGUAGUGGGGGAUAACGUCCGGAAACGGGCGCUAAUACCGCAUACGUCCUGAGGGAGAAAGUGGGGGAUCUUCGGACCUCACGCUAUCAGAUGAGCCUAGGUCGGAUUAGCUAGUUGGUGGGGUAAAGGCCUACCAAGGCGACGAUCCGUAACUGGUCUGAGAGGAUGAUCAGUCACACUGGAACUGAGACACGGUCCAGACUCCUACGGGAGGCAGCAGUGGGGAAUAUUGGACAAUGGGCGAAAGCCUGAUCCAGCCAUGCCGCGUGGGUGAAGAAGGUCUUCGGGUUGUAAAGCACUUUUGGUGGGAAAGAAGAGCAGCAAGUUAAUACCUCGCUGUUUUGACGGUACCAAAAGAAUAAGCACCGGCUAACUUCGUG
RNAcentral lists this ribosomal RNA (484 nucleotides) under uncultured bacterium. Its description in RNAcentral is "partial 16S ribosomal RNA". It matches the Rfam family "Bacterial small subunit ribosomal RNA", at positions 30 to 507 of the family's 1533-position model. The record is from RNAcentral.